Molecule: small nucleolar RNA, 84 nt
Organism: Nymphaea colorata (pocket water lily)
Lineage: Eukaryota; Viridiplantae; Streptophyta; Magnoliopsida; Nymphaeales; Nymphaeaceae
Product: small nucleolar RNA snoR14
Exons: 1
Source: RefSeq, a predicted model, not a curated record
GCGAAGUGACGAUGAAAUUCAUGUCUGUCAAUCCACUGAGUUUUCCAGUGAUGUACAUCUUGAAUCCUUAUAGGUUCUGAUCGC